GACGAACGCUGGCGGCGUGCCUAAUACAUGCAAGUAGAACGCUGAAGGAGGAGCUUGCUUCUCUGGAUGAGUUGCGAACGGGUGAGUAACGCGUAGGUAACCUGCCUGGUAGCGGGGGAUAACUAUUGGAAACGAUAGCUAAUACCGCAUAAUAGCAGUUAUUGCAUGAUAACUGUUUGAAAGGUGCAAUUGCACCACUACCAGAUGGACCUGCGUUGUAUUAGCUAGUUGGUGGGGUAACGGCUCACCAAGGCGACGAUACAUAGCCGACCUGAGAGGGUGAUCGGCCACACUGGGACUGAGACACGGCCCAGACUCCUACGGGAGGCAGCAGUAGGGAAUCUUCGGCAAUGGACGGAAGGCUGACCGAGCAACGCCGCGUGAGUGAAGAAGGUUUUCGGAUCGUAAAGCUCUGUUGUAAGAGAAGAAAGAGUGUGAGAGUGGAAAGUUCACACUGUGACGGUAUCUUACCAGAAAGGGACGGCUAACUACGUG
This 495-nucleotide ribosomal RNA is filed under the name uncultured bacterium. Its description in RNAcentral is "partial 16S ribosomal RNA". It matches the Rfam family "Bacterial small subunit ribosomal RNA", at positions 28 to 507 of the family's 1533-position model. The record is from RNAcentral.